GACCUGAUACCAGCGACUGCAGCGUCUGUGCAGAGCUGCUGCAGAGACUCCAGCUGAGAACAUCAGGACAAACAUCCUCAUCUGGUUCAGCCUGAACAGCAGGUCCACCAUUUCACCUGUGGAGACAUGGAGCACCUGGCUGUGAUCUGGUUCUUCUCAGCUCUGAUAGGUCAGAGCUUGGAAGCUGACAUCACCGCCGUCAGAUCUCAGGAGUUUUCAUCAGAGGGACGCAGGGUUACUUUGUCCUGUAACUAUUCAGUUAAAGCUCAGAACCUCCAGUGGUAUCGACAGGAUCCUGGAUCAGCUCCUCGGUUCCUUCUCCUGAUCACUGAUACUAAAGAUCCAACCGUGGUGGAAGCAAAACCUCCAAACCCUCGACUGACUGCAGAACUGAACGAGCAGAGGAACCGAGUGGACCUGCUGAUCUCCUCUGCUGCAGUGUCAGACUCUGCUGUGUACUACUGUGCUCUGCAGCCCACAGUGACAGGAAACAGCAGAACUCUGUACAAGAACCUGCAGUACUCCACAACAUCCACUAGAGGGCCUCACAGGCUGCUCCACCUCUGGUUUGUCAGGAUUCAGUCUGAUUGAGCUGCUGAGAGAAAGCAGACAUCAGAGGCUUUGCUGCAUCAUUGAACUCUUUGUGAUGAGAAGGUUUGGAUCAGAAAGGAGGAGGAUGGUUGCUCCAUGAUGGAGGUGCAGCCUGUGCAGGA
This is a non-coding RNA of Fundulus heteroclitus (mummichog), 713 nucleotides long. The record is from the annotation of a RefSeq genome assembly. NCBI's taxonomy places the organism in Eukaryota, Metazoa, Chordata, Actinopteri, Cyprinodontiformes, Fundulidae.